This is a long non-coding RNA of Symphalangus syndactylus (siamang), 256 nucleotides long. RefSeq lists it as uncharacterized. The record is from RefSeq and is a predicted model, not a curated record. NCBI's taxonomy places the organism in Eukaryota, Metazoa, Chordata, Mammalia, Primates, Hylobatidae.
GGGAGAUCCGGCCGGAGAUUGGGAGAGAGGAAAUUCCGGCGCUCCGGCAUGUGAUCGGGCUUGCGCAGAGGGGCUGGCGGUUUUCGGACUCAGCCCAGUCGGCGGGUCUUAGCUUUGGAAACAGGCGGUGUCCAUGGGAUCAGCCAACCUGAAUUCAGAAAUGGAAGUAUUGUGAAGAUGCCAGAGUCCCCCCUCCCAGCCCUGGAACACUGAGCUCUGCAAAAUGAGAAAAAUAAAAACAUGUCUUGUUAAGGCC